Molecule: long non-coding RNA, 674 nt
Organism: Micropterus salmoides (largemouth bass)
Lineage: Eukaryota; Metazoa; Chordata; Actinopteri; Centrarchiformes; Centrarchidae
Exons: 2
Source: RefSeq, a predicted model, not a curated record
CUCUCUCACCUGUCUCUCUCUCUUUGACCUGUCUCUCUCUCAGGGCUGUCCUGGUAUGUGCCUGGGGAGAAAAAGGAGCAGAUGCUUUGGGUCCAGACGGUUUGGUUGUUCAUUCAGAUGCUUUUCCUCCUGAAACUCUCGUCGAUACUCUCGGAGCCGGAGACACUUUCAACUCCGCCGUCAUCUACACGCUGUCAAAUGGUGGAAGUUUGCAGGACGCUCUGACCUUCGGUUGCAGAGUCGCUGGCAAGAAGUGUGGUUUCCAUGGCUACGACGGCAUCGCCGGACAGUUCACGGCCGUCUGACCGAAGAGUUAAAAACAACGAUGGAUUCAGAGAACUGUGGUUACAGUCUGAGGUUACUCACUGUCAAAAAUGAUAAGUUAAUGAUGAACUGACAUAAAACAAUAAAACAAAGACCUGAUUUAAAUAAAUUUCACUUUGAAAAGUGAAGCUUCAUAAAAAGCUUUGACCAGUUUGUGUCGAUAAUAACUGAUGUAUGACUGAUAAGCUGAUAAAGUGAUAAUCAGUGGUACAUAACUGAUAGUUUACGGUUUGAUUAUUGAUUGAACUGUUGUUACCUGAAAUUAACUAUUAACAAGCUGCUAACAAAAUUAUUGCUAAGUGUUGAUGAACUUUGUGAUGCUGUGAGAUUAAAUAAGGAUGAUCUUGUUA